GUUUUUGCUGAUUAUGUCUCUUGGUGUCUCUCUUUCUCACAAUUUUCUUGUAUUUCCAGUUUUGGAUUUGGGCUUGUGUUUAACUGAACUGAAUCUAUGAAAAUAUUGGAGGGCCUGGAUUGCAGCACUGUUUCACUUGAGGAUAAUUAAAUGUUAUAUGAUGCCACCCAGGAUUAUAGACUUUAGUAUGAAUGCUCUUAGGGUUUCCCAGAUAAUUCCCAUUUUAACUCCAACUCCAAUGAUGUCAGAACUAUAGUUAACACUUCUCAUGGAGGAAAUUUUCUCUCUAAAAUUGUUAAAUCCAAGAUUAACAAGUUAAUCUGUAUCAUUAUGCCAUUCCUGAUCUACCAUUUUUUUGAUAUUGUAACCUGUCCUAAUAUCCAGCUUUGUAAUUGAGUGUCAAAUUUAAAUACCCAUCCUUCCUAUGUGUUGUAAUAUAUCUUUUGCCUUGUGUAACAAGUUUAAUCUUUUUGAUGUAUGGUAAUUUAAUAUGAUAAUGUGUAAUUAAAUACUCUCAGGGCUUCAGUGACAGAAUCUUCGUAUUCAUACUAAUUCCAUUCUUCCACAAUUGUUUUUGUUAUUCCUGUAUCUUCUUGUUAACAUAACUGUACAUUUAAAAGUUACUGCUGUUCAGAAUCUGUGCUUUUUGUGUGUGUUUUGUGUGUGUCUGAGUGUGUGUGUUUGGGGAGAUUUGUAGAUUCCACAUAUCUAGUGAAUAAUAAUGAUGGCACUGAAAUUUAAAAAUCAUGAAGGAACAGAGACACUUUAGGAGACUUUUAUAACAAUACUUAUCAAAAACUAGCUAAUAGUUCACUGUAGACACUUCUGGCACCAUAAAAAGGCUUAGAGUCUUCCAAAGAAGAGGUAAUUGGCUAUAGUGAAUUUAGACAAAUAAGCAAAGAUACACUUCAACUCACACUUCCCACUCCACACUCCCCCUUCCUAGGAUUCAUGAGAGUGGAAACCAAUUAUAUGCAAGAGUAAAGACAGAAAAUUGAAGGAAGCAUAAUUUUGGUACAAGCUGAAGCUAUUUGAGACUAAUGGGUUGUUUUCAUAUAGAGUCCAGAAAGGUGUAUGGAAUCUAAAAAAACAACUAAAAUGUAGAAUAAUAAGUACUAUUUUGUGGGAAACUUAUUCCUGGUGUGUCAAGAAGACUUCCCAGAGAAAGUCUUACCAAAACUAAGGACUGACAGAGAAAUACGAAUUAUUCAGGCAAAGAGGAGGAGUGUUUGAAGCAUAAAUACCAGUAUCUUUGAAAGUCCACCUGAGAAAAGCUAAGAAUGUUACUUGUUAUUUAUUUCUGUGUUUAAUUUCUAUUAGUUUUUAACAUCAGGUUCCCAACUACUUUAAGAAAUCUUUACUCACAAUACCAGGCAAUUUAUCCUAUGCCUUUGUUAGUUUCCUUAUGGCCCAGGAGCUGUGAAGGCCUCAAAGACUAGCAUACUGGAAAUGUUUUAGGACAUAUUCAUUGCAUCAGUUAAUGGUUACAUAUUUAGCAACAGAAAACAGGCCAGGCACAUAAAUAAAUAUUGAGGAAAAGAAAAUAAGCUCAUUACACUAUAUAACUUAGCCUUUAUAAAAAAAUAAGUGGAGGAAUUUCUGAAGUUAGAAGAAAAAACAUUACAUAGUUUGAAACAAUAGCUAUCAAUAAGGAAGAACAGGCCAAAGCAUAGGGAUGCUCCACAGAUGCACUGUAAGAUAUGGAAUUUCAAAUCUUAAUUAAUUUAAAUUUGAACAGCUUCAUGUAGUCAAUGGCUACUACAUUGGCUAGCACAGGUCUAACAUACUCCAAUGAGAAAGCAAUCACAGGCUUACCUUGGAUUUCCUCUCUCUGAAGAAACGCAGGCCUAUUUUGCUUUUUACCUGUAACUCUUGAAAAAGAUGCUUUAUUUAAUUUGUUAGUUGUUUACAGGGAGAAUGCUAUUCUGAUACUAGAAUUACGUUAUUAAAAAAAUCUGUUAUAAUAUAAUUGAAAUUUUAUUGAAAUUAUAAAUCAUCUAGAGUAAUUUUGUUUUCUUUUUAAUACACAUGUAACAUGUAUAUUCAAAUAUAUAUGUUGGGAACACUAUUUUUUCUUUCUUAUAAGAUUUAAUUAAUCAACAUUAUAAAGACCAUGCAUCGUGCAGAAAAUAAUAAACUUUUCUACCUUUUUUAAAAAAAACUUCAGAUUUGUUACUGUUUGUAAAUUUCUGAUUUUUGAUGGUUAAAGGCAAAAAAAAGAAAAAGAAAGCUAAGCUUGAGUUUCCCAUAGUUGUGCUUUUUGAGAUAUUGUCUAUUCUCCUUCUGAAAUUUUGAUUAAAUUUGUAUAUCAAGCCAGGAAGUUGAAUGCUUUCUAAAACUAUGUUAUUGUUUUUGCUGCUCCCCUCCCCUUCCCUGCACAAAGCUGCAGAGAUCUUCCAACUGUAUUUUAUUCCUUUCUGAAAUUUUGAUCAAAUUUCUAUAUCAAGUCGGGAAGUUGAAUGCUUUCUAAAAAAUAUUUUGUUAUUUUUACCCCUCCCCCCCUGGACAAAGCUGUGGAGAUCUUCCUACUGUAUUAUUUUCUUACAUUCUGUAUUUCUUCUUCGAUAACACGUAUCUGUAAUUAUAAUUAUGCAUUUUAUGUGCGAUUUUAAAUUUUCAUUUCAAUGCAUUUAUCUGUAAUUAUAAUUAUGCAUUUUAUGUGUGAUUUUAAAUUUCCACUUCAAUGUAUGCUUUAUGAAUUCAAAUGUUACCUUUUGUACACCAUUACAUAUUAAAUAUUUAAUUUCUCUAAC
This 2753-nucleotide long non-coding RNA is filed under the name Homo sapiens (human). RNAcentral describes it as "HSALNT0204547". The record is from RNAcentral. Lineage: Eukaryota; Metazoa; Chordata; Mammalia; Primates; Hominidae.